GUGAACGCCCCUCCAGCCUUCGAGUCGUUCUUGCUCUUCGAGGGCGAGAAGAAGAUCACCAUUAACAAGGACACCAAGGUACCCAAUGCCUGUUUAUUCACCAUCAACAAAGAAGACCACACACUGGGAAACAUCAUUAAAUCGCUAAAGGACCCGCAAGUGCUAUUUGCUGGCUACAAAGUCCCCCACCCCUUGGAGCACAAGAUCAUCAUCCGAGUGCAGACCACGCCGGACUACAGCCCCCAGGAAGCCUUUACCAACGCCAUCACCGACCUCAUCAGUGAGCUGUCCCUGCUGGAGGAGCGCUUCCGGGUG
RNAcentral lists this long non-coding RNA (315 nucleotides) under Homo sapiens (human). RNAcentral describes it as "non-protein coding lnc-URGCP-2:4". Lineage: Eukaryota; Metazoa; Chordata; Mammalia; Primates; Hominidae. The record is from RNAcentral.